Molecule: ribosomal RNA, 690 nt
Filed under: uncultured fungus
Lineage: Eukaryota; Fungi
Description: eukaryotic LSU rRNA
Rfam family: Eukaryotic large subunit ribosomal RNA
Source: RNAcentral
AUAUCAAUAAGCGGAGGAAAAGAAACUAACAAGGAUUCCCCUAGUAACGGCGAGUGAAGCGGGAACAGCUCAAAUUUGAAAUCUCACAAGUUUUCUUGUGCGAAUUGUAGUUUAUAGAAACGUUUUCGGAGGUGGCUUGGGCAUAAGUCCUUUGGAAUGAGGCAUCAUAGAGGGUGACAAUCCCGUCUUUGGUCCAAUGUCCGCUUCUAUGUGAUACGUUUUCUAAGAGUCGGUUUGUUUGGGAAUGCAGACCAAAAUGGGUGGUAAAUACCAUCUAAAGCUAAAUAUUGGCGAGAGACCGAUAGCGAACAAGUACCGUGAGGGAAAGAUGAAAAGAACUUUGAAAAGAGAGUUAAACAGUACGUGAAAUUGUCAAAAGGGAAACGCUUGAAACCAGUAUUGCUUGCAAGUAAUCAGCCGUACCUUUUGGUGCGGUGCACUUGCUUGUCGGCAGGUCAACAUCAGUUUGACUUGGGGUAAAAAGCCAGAAGAAGGUAGCCCGGGGUUCGCUCUGGGUGUUAUAGCUUCUGGUCCUGCCCUGGGUUGGACUGAGGUCUGCAGUGUUAUUUGGGUUACCAGUCGCCUUCCGACGCUCUGUUGCAGACAGCACGCUGACUGUGACAGCCUUUAGGAAGCCCGGUUGAGAUUCCACACCAACGCUUAGGAUGUUGACGAAAUGGUUUUAAACGA